CCUGAGCUAUACAGUAGUACUCACGUUUAAAGUUUGAUCGUUUGUCUUAUUUAAAAAUUUUUUAUACUAUUAUUUUUAUUGCUAUUAUAUGAUAAAAUAUAAAUAAUAUUUUAUGUGUGACUAAAUAUUUUUAGAUUUUUCAAAUAACACGAACAGUCAAAUGUUGGACAUAGAUAUCUACGGCUGUAUUUAUU
Molecule: microRNA precursor, 194 nt
Filed under: Oryza meridionalis
Lineage: Eukaryota; Viridiplantae; Streptophyta; Magnoliopsida; Poales; Poaceae
Description: MIR812 microRNA precursor family
Rfam family: MIR812 microRNA precursor family
Source: Rfam by way of RNAcentral